This 993-nucleotide ribosomal RNA is filed under the name human gut metagenome. RNAcentral's name for it is "bacterial LSU rRNA". It matches the Rfam family "Bacterial large subunit ribosomal RNA", at positions 1931 to 2925 of the family's 2925-position model. The record is from RNAcentral.
CGGCCGUAACUAUAACGGUCCUAAGGUAGCGAAAUUCCUUGUCGGGUAAGUUCCGACCCGCACGAAAGGUGUAACGAUUUGGGCACUGUCUCAACGAGGGACCCGGUGAAAUUGAAAUACCUGUGAAGAUGCAGGUUACCCGCGACUGGACAGAAAGACCCCAUGGAGCUUUACUGUAACCUGACAUUGGGUUUUGAUACAUUACGUACAGGAUAGGUGGGAGGCAUGGAAAGCUGGACGCUAGUCUGGCUGGAGCCGCCGUUGGGAUACCACCCUUGAUGUAUUGAAAUUCUAACCGCGAGAGUAACGAAAUCCGGGACAGUGUCAGGCGGGCAGUUUGACUGGGGCGGUCGCCUCCGAAAGAGUAACGGAGGCGCCCAAAGGUUCCCUCAGCGCGGCCGGAAAUCGCGCGAAGAGUGUAAAGGCAGAAGGGAGCUUGACUGCGAGUCAAACACGACGAGCAGGUACGAAAGUAGGGCUUAGUGAUCCGGUGGUACCGAGUGGAAGGGCCAUCGCUCAACGGAUAAAAGCUACCCUGGGGAUAACAGGCUAAUCUCUCCCAAGAGUCCAUAUCGACGGGGAGGUUUGGCACCUCGAUGUCGGCUCAUCACAUCCUGGGGCUGAAGUCGGUCCCAAGGGUUGGGCUGUUCGCCCAUUAAAGUGGUACGUGAGCUGGGUUCAGAACGUCGUGAGACAGUUCGGUCCCUAUCCAUCGCGGGCGCAAGAGAUUUGAAGGGGGCUGCUCCUAGUACGAGAGGACCGGAGUGGACGAACCGCUGGUGUACCAAUUAUCCCGCCAGGGGUACAGUUGGGUAGCUACGUUCGGAAAGGAUAAACGCUGAAAGCAUCUAAGCGUGAAACCAGCCUUAAGAUGAGAUCUCUCAUAGAGCAAUCUAGUAAGACACCUUAAAGAAGAUGAGGUUGAUAGGUCGGGAGUGUAAGUACAGCAAUGUAUUGAGCGGACCGAUACUAAUAUGUCGAGGGCUUGACUUA